AUGUCGCCAGCAGACGGCAUCGAGGGCGUGACAUCCACGUACUUCUAUUACGUGUCUGAUCGUGUGCACCAUGACCGAGACUGUGCUCCAAAGUUCACCGGCACGCAGGGAGGCGAGGCUGGUCUGACCGCCGGCAGUUGCGCGGGCCGUGAAACAAACAAUCCUCUACAUCCUUUUCGGCAGGGGCCAUAUGCGUGCCCCGAAGCACAACUCAUGGCCAACUGUCCUGUCAUUCGCCUCAAUGAUGAUAGCGCGGUGGAGCGGCUCCUCCGAUGGUCCGCCAUGACAUUGGAGGCCACAGCCUCGUGGGUUGCUGAUGAGGACAUCAAUACCAUUGUUACACCCGCAGCCCCUACUGUUACAUAUACUGAACAAUUACUAGAGCUCGCGCACGUCAAUUAA
This 402-nucleotide ribosomal RNA is filed under the name Triticum aestivum (bread wheat). Its description in RNAcentral is "partial small subunit ribosomal RNA". The record is from RNAcentral. Lineage: Eukaryota; Viridiplantae; Streptophyta; Magnoliopsida; Poales; Poaceae.